AGAGUUUGAUCCUGGCUCAGAUUGAACGCUGGCGGCAUGCUUUACACAUGCAAGUCGAACGGUAACGCGGGGGCAACCCUGGCGACGUGUGGCGAACGGGUGAGUAAUACAUCGGAACAUAUCCAGUAGCGGGGGAUAACCUAUCGAAAGAUGGACUAAUACCGCAUACGAUCUACGGAUGAAAGCAGGGGACCGCAAGGCCUUGCACUAUUGGAGUGGCCGAUGUCGGAUUAGCUAGUUGGUGAGGUAAAGGCUUACCAAGGCGACGAUCCGUAGCUGGUCUGAGAGGACGAUCAGCCACACUGGAACUGAGACACGGUCCAGACUCCUACGGGAGGCAGCAGUGGGGAAUUUUGGACAAUGGGCGCAAGCCUGAUCCAGCCAUGCCGCGUGAGUGAAGAAGGCCUUCGGGUUGUAAAGCUCUUUCGGUGAAGACGAAACGGUUCGUGCUAAUAACGCGGACUAAUGACGGUACUCACAGAAGAAGCACCGGCUAACUACGUGCCAGCAGCCGCGGUAAUACGUAGGGUGCAGGCGUUAAUCGGAAUUACUGGGCGUAAAGCGUGCGCAGGCGGUUUGCUAAGACAGGUGUGAAAUCCCCGGGCUUAACCUGGGAAUUGCGCUUGUAACUGGCAAGCUAGAGUGUAGCAGAGGGGGGUGGAAUUCCACGUGUAGCAGUGAAAUGCGUAGAUAUGUGGAGGAACACCGAUGGCGAAGGCAGCCCCCUGGGUUAACACUGACGCUCAUGCACGAAAGCGUGGGGAGCAAACAGGAUUAGAUACCCUGGUAGUCCACGCCCUAAACUAUGUCAGCUAGUUGUCGGGGAAGAAAUUCCUUGGUAACGAAGCUAACGCGUGAAGUUGACCGCCUGGGGAGUACGGCCGCAAGGUUAAAACUCAAAGGAAUUGACGGGGACCCGCACAAGCGGUGGAUUAUGUGGAUUAAUUCGAUGCAACGCGAAAAACCUUACCUACCCUUGACAUGCUAGGAAGCCCGCAGAGAUGUGGGUGUGCCCGAAAGGGAACCUAGACACAGGUGCUGCAUGGCUGUCGUCAGCUCGUGUCGUGAGAUGUUGGGUUAAGUCCCGCAACGAGCGCAACCCUUGCCAUUAGUUGCUACAUUCAGUUGGGCACUCUAAUGGGACCGCCGGUGACAAACCGGAGGAAGGUGGGAUGACGUCAAGUCCUCAUGGCCCUUAUGGGUAGGGCUUCACACGUAAUACAAUGGUCGGUACAGAGGGCUGCCAACCCGCAAGGGGGAGCUAAUCCCAGAAAGCCGAUCGUAGUCCGGAUUGUAGUCUGCAACUCGACUGCAUGAAGCCGGAAUCGCUAGUAAUCGCGGAUCAGCAUGUCGCGGUGAAUACGUUCCCGGGUCUUGUACACACCGCCCGUCACACCAUGGGAGUGGGUUCCACCAGAAGUAGUUAGCCUAACCGCAAGGAGGGCGAUUACCACGGUGAGAUUCAUGACUGGGGUGAAGUCGUAACAAGGUA
RNAcentral lists this ribosomal RNA (1492 nucleotides) under metagenome. Its description in RNAcentral is "bacterial SSU rRNA". It matches the Rfam family "Bacterial small subunit ribosomal RNA". The record is from RNAcentral.